This 468-nucleotide ribosomal RNA is filed under the name uncultured bacterium. RNAcentral's name for it is "partial 16S ribosomal RNA". It matches the Rfam family "Bacterial small subunit ribosomal RNA", at positions 28 to 507 of the family's 1533-position model. The record is from RNAcentral.
GACGAACGCUGGCGGCGUGCUUAACACAUGCAAGUCGAACGGAAAGGCCCUGCUUUUGUGGGGUGCUUGAGUGGCGAACGGGUGAGUAACACGUGAGUAACCUGCCCUUGACGUUGGGAUAACUUCAGGAAACUGGGGCUAAUACCGGAUAUGAGCUCCUGCUGCAUGGUGGGGGUUGGAAAGUUUCGGCGGGUGGGGAUGGACUCGCGGCUUAUCAGCUUGUUGGUGGGGUAGUGGAAUACCAAGGCUUUGACGGGUAGCCGGCCUGAGAGGGUGACCGGCCACAAUGGGCCUGAGAUACGGCCCAGUCUCCUACGGGAGGCAGCAGUCGGGAGUAUUGCACAGUGGGCGGGAGCCUGAUACGGCGGCGCCGCGUGCGGGAUGCCGGCCUUCGGGUUGUGAACCGCUUUCGCCUGUGACGAAGCGUGAGUGACGGUAAUGGGUAAAGAAGCACCGGCUAACUACGUG